RNAcentral lists this non-coding RNA (88 nucleotides) under Cetobacterium ceti. RNAcentral describes it as "SAM-I sequence". It matches the Rfam family "SAM riboswitch aptamer (S box leader)". From Rfam's summary of the family: The SAM riboswitch is found upstream of a number of genes which code for proteins involved in methionine or cysteine biosynthesis in Gram-positive bacteria. Lineage: Bacteria; Fusobacteriati; Fusobacteriota; Fusobacteriia; Fusobacteriales; Fusobacteriaceae. The record is from Rfam by way of RNAcentral.
GAAUCAUCAAGAGAGACUGAGGGACUGGCCCUGUGAUGUCUCAGCAACCUACCUUACUGGUGUGGUGCUAAUUCCAGAAAGAUGAAAA